GAACUUAGCAGAGAUGCUUUGGUGCCUUUCGGGGAACUCUGAGACAGGUGCUGCAUGGCUGUCGUCAGCUCGUGUUGUGAAAUGUUGGGUUAAGUCCCGCAACGAGCGCAACCCUUAUCCUUUGUUGCCAGCGGUUAGGCUGGGAACUCAAAGGAGACUGCCAGUGAUAAACUGGAGGAAGGUGGGGAUGACGUCAAGUCAUCAUGGCCCUUACGAGUAGGGCUACACACGUGCUACAAUGGCGCAUACAAAGAGAAGCGACCUCGCGAGAGCAAGCGGACCUCAUAAAGUGCGUCGUAGUCCGGAUUGGAGUCUGCAACUCGACUCCAUGAAGUCGGAAUCGCUAGUAAUCGUGGAUCAGAAUGCCACGGUGAAUACGUUCCCGGGCCUUGUACACACCGCCCGUCACACCAUGGGAGUGGGUUGCAAAAGAAGUAGGUAGCUUAACCUUCGGGAGGGCGCUUACCACUUUGUGAUUCAUGACUGGGGUGAAGUCGUAACAAGGUAGGCGUAGUGCU
RNAcentral lists this ribosomal RNA (518 nucleotides) under uncultured bacterium. RNAcentral's name for it is "bacterial SSU rRNA". It matches the Rfam family "Bacterial small subunit ribosomal RNA", at positions 993 to 1509 of the family's 1533-position model. The record is from RNAcentral.